AAGGGCUUUCCAAGCAUGGCCUUGAUCAUAUGACAUACACAUGCAAUUCAAUCAAUUAUCAAGAUUAAGUCAAUAUCAUUCAUGAUUCCCUGUGAACAGUGCACACAUCAAUAAAUAUUUUGAAGCUCAAUACCUCACAUAAAUGCUUUCUCACUUCUCAUUCAUGAAUCCUGCUUAGCAUCACAAUCACAAUCAUAGUCACUUACUCAUCUGUUCACAUAAUUAGUGAAAC
RNAcentral lists this long non-coding RNA (232 nucleotides) under Vigna radiata. RNAcentral describes it as "long non-coding RNA (VRAD_LNC008712)". The record is from RNAcentral. Lineage: Eukaryota; Viridiplantae; Streptophyta; Magnoliopsida; Fabales; Fabaceae.